GACGUAGGGCGCGAGCGUUGUCCGGAUUUAUUGGGCGUAAAGAGCGUGUAGGCGGUCCGGUAAGUCAGCUGUGAAAGUCAAGGGCUCAACCCUUGAAAGCCGGUUGAUACUGUCGGGCUAGAGUCCGGAAGAGGCGAGUGGAAUUCCCGGUGUAGCGGUGAAAUGCGCAGAUAUCGGGAGGAACACCAAUGGCGAAGGCAGCUCGCUGGGACGGUACUGACGCUGAGACGCGAAAGCGUGGGGAGCAAACAGG
RNAcentral lists this ribosomal RNA (253 nucleotides) under uncultured bacterium. RNAcentral describes it as "partial 16S ribosomal RNA". It matches the Rfam family "Bacterial small subunit ribosomal RNA", at positions 524 to 776 of the family's 1533-position model. The record is from RNAcentral.